AUGAGCUUGAGGAGGUUUUUCCGAGCGACCAGGGACGAGGACUUCAGUCAGAUCCAGUAUCUGACGGCCAAAUGCACCAGGCUGGCUCGAGAUAAAGCAGAGCUGGACAGGGAGUGUGUUCUGUCCAGAGAAAAGCAGCGGAUGCUGCAGGAGGAACUGGAAGCUGCAGCUUCUCAGAUCUUUCAUCAGACGCAUCAGAACAUGGAGCUACGGAGGAACCAGGACCGACUGAUCAACAGGAUCCGACAGCAGCAGGAGCUGGUGGAGCUGCUCCAUCAACGUGUGGUCCUCCUGGUGGAGGAGAGCUGUCGGGAUGCAGAGCUGCUACGACAGGUGGGCUCCGAGCUGCUGUGUGUGCAGAACUCUGAGGGGAAGCUGGAGGGCCUGGUGGAGGAGCUGCACCACGAGGCCCAGCGCAGAGCUGCAGAGGCCGAAGGCCUCCAGAUGAAGCUGCACGCAGAGGCCCAGCACAGAGCUGCGCUGACAGAGAGCCUCCUCACAGAGCUGCACGGUAAGACAGUGGAGCUGCAGAAGCUUCAGGCCAUGAACAGAACUCUGACGGACGAGAUGAAGGAUCUACGUAGAUCUCACCACCAGGAGGUGAUGAAGCUGCAGCAGGAGAACAAAGGGAGUCUAAAGAAACUGCAGCAGACAGCAGAGCAGUUUGAGUGGCUUUGUCAGCAGCAGAAACACUGGAUGCUUUGUGUUAAAAGGUUCAAAGACUGUCUGAUGGAGGAGAGGGAAGCUCGAGUACUGGAGAAGAAGACCUUGGAUGACCAAAGACCAUCACCAAGUCUACACUACCGCCCCCUGCUGGACACACAGAACUCUAACAGUGUAACAUCAUGGGACGUCGAUGCAGUGACUAAGCAGGAAUGUGAUGACGUGAAGAAGUCGUCCAUGUUGUAUGAGGAGAUCUUUAAACAGGUGUGUGCGUGUGUGUGUGCGUGUGUGUGUGCGUGUGUGUGUGCGUGUGUGUGUGCGUGUGUGUGCGUGUGUGUGUGUGUGUGUGUGUGUGUUCAUUGAGCUUGGACAUGGGGCGCCAAAUGUAGAAACUCGGUCACUGUUCCAUAGCUGACAUAUUUUGAACAUUUAGUUCAUUUUUCUUUCGCUUUAAACAGAAUUUCAUGUAAAACAGCAUGUUCUGUAUCAUUGUCAAAAAUGUGUACACAUGAAAACUAAAUCUAAAUGUAAAUGUUAAAUCUAAAUGUAAAUGUUAAAUCUAAAUGUAAAUG
RNAcentral lists this long non-coding RNA (1235 nucleotides) under Gouania willdenowi (blunt-snouted clingfish). RNAcentral's name for it is "lncRNA (ENSGWIG00000015479.1)". The record is from RNAcentral. Lineage: Eukaryota; Metazoa; Chordata; Actinopteri; Blenniiformes; Gobiesocidae.